AGAAUUCACCAUGCAUGCGAUAGACCGCACAGACAGGUUAUUCCAACAGAAUAAUAAAGAAUGGAACCAGGUCUAGCGUAAUCCGCACAGACAGAAUAUUCCAACAAAAUAAUAAAGAAUGGAAUAACAAAGAAUUCACCAUGCAUGCGAUAGACCGCACAGACAGGUUAUUUCCAUAAAAUAAUAAAGAAUGGAAUAACAGAAGAAUUUCACCAUGUAUGCGGUACUUCGCAUAGA
Molecule: long non-coding RNA, 237 nt
Filed under: Panax ginseng (ginseng)
Lineage: Eukaryota; Viridiplantae; Streptophyta; Magnoliopsida; Apiales; Araliaceae
Description: long non-coding RNA (PGIN_LNC018832)
Source: RNAcentral